GUAGAUUAUCUGCCCUCAGGUUUGGGAUAGCUGCGGGAAACUGCAAGUAAUACCAAAUAAUAUCUCCGGAUCAAAGGUGUGAUUCCGCCUGAGGAUGAGUCUGCCUCCUAUUAGCUUGUUGGUGGGGUAACGGCCUACCAAGGCAUUGAUGGGUAGCGGGUGUGAGAGCACGACCCGCGUCAUUGGGACUGAGACACUGCCCAGACACCUACGGGUGGCUGCAGUCGAGAAUCUUCGGCAAUGGACGCAAGUCUGACCGAGCGACGCCGCGUGUGGGAUGAAGGCCUUCGGGUUGUAAACCACUGUCAGAGGGGAUGAAAUGCAGGUGGGUACUCCCAUCUGUUUGACAUAGCCUCAGAGGAAGUACGGGCUAAGUUCGUGCCAGCAGCCGCGGUAAGACGAACCGUACGAACGUUAUUCGGAAUUACUGGGCUUAAAGGGUGCGUAGGCGGCGCGGAAAGUAGGGUGUGAAAUCCCUCGGCUCAACCGAGGAACUGCGCUCUAAACUACCGUGCUC
RNAcentral lists this ribosomal RNA (517 nucleotides) under uncultured Planctomycetota bacterium. Its description in RNAcentral is "bacterial SSU rRNA". It matches the Rfam family "Bacterial small subunit ribosomal RNA", at positions 117 to 643 of the family's 1533-position model. The record is from RNAcentral. Lineage: Bacteria; Pseudomonadati; Planctomycetota.